This is a long non-coding RNA of Sapajus apella (tufted capuchin), 101 nucleotides long. RefSeq lists it as uncharacterized. NCBI's taxonomy places the organism in Eukaryota, Metazoa, Chordata, Mammalia, Primates, Cebidae. The record is from RefSeq and is a predicted model, not a curated record. The transcript has 3 exons.
AAUGUACAUAGGCCAGGCGGGUGUAAUCCUGUUUUCUAUAACUGAAGAGAAAAGAAAAAAUGAAACAGCAAGUCAUCAAAGACUUUUUGGACUUUUCAAAA